AUCUCCAAGCCAAGCACCGGGUCAGCCCUCAAUUCUUAGCCGGUGGAGACAGCACUCCGAUCGGCUUGCGCUUUAUAAUUACGAUGAGGUCCUGCUCACCUUGUCCAGGGGCACCAAAGCUACGCACUGAAACACUGUCAAAUUGCGAUUAAUUCUUAUUAUAUUUUGCCGUUGUUAUUACAGUCAUAUAUAUUUAAAAAAAUAGCCUACAAACCUCGGACUCAACAAAAUGAACAUAGAACAUAGCCUACAAAUGCAACUGCAACGACAGAAAAUACAUAAUCAAAACAAGCAGGGAAAGCUUUAGUGAUCUAUUUAAAGCACGAUAUUUUUGUAUGAGUUUUGACCUCCCAACAACCAAUAAUAAUUUGCAUUCGCCAAUAGGCUGUCUGGUUGGCUAAGAUCGCACUGUUGGAGAUUUAUUAACUUAUGAAUGGCUGAUUUUGCGGAAGGGGAGCGUGAAGGGCGUAAGAUUGCCAUAGGACGAUAUUGAACAUUUAUCCCAACAAUGACCAUUUCCGCGACUCGCUGCAGCUUUGCGAGAGACUACAUGGGAAGGACAGCAGCAAAUAAACCGGACAUUGCCACUUUAACGGCAGCCCCGGGCCAUUCGAAAAAGCGCAGACACAGAUGCCGCAUUCAAGCAAGAGGAAAAACGGGUUGAAAGAUUCUUAAGCCUAAAAUCAAGCGAGGAGACAGGGCGCUGUGCGGGGGCUAGGGCCAGGGCGGGGCCCGUCCUGUCCAUGGUGAGUGGACCCAAGGCCUGUGUGGGUAAGAGAGCAGGGCACUCCACCCAUGGGCACAUCCCCCUGGACAACACGAAGGAGCCAGCAGGGUAGAUCAUUUCACAUUUGCAAUUCAACGCGUCCAUAGCAGACAUCUUUAGAGACUUACAGGCGUUCACACGAAAGGGAAACACAAUCCAAGUGUGCCAGCAAAUGAUCACAGUGUUCUUUUUCCUCCAAGCCACUUAUGCAAAAUGCAGUAGUAUUGUUUCAUUUAACCUCACAGGAAACGGCGUAUAAAAGGCAGAGAAGGCAGCCCCAAGGUUAUCUCAGAGGUAUGUUCUGUAAUGAGGCUUCACAUCCGUCAUGUGAAACAGCCAGAGUACUGUAAGCAACCUAGGCCACAGCACACAGGAACUGAUGACAAGCAUGGCAAGACCAUAGACCACUCAGUUGUGUUCUGCAAGCGGCACCGUAGCACACACAGUUGGUACUUUUAGGAGAGAUGCUCAAAAAGAUUUUCUACAAUGAUGUUGUUGCAAGUCUGGCAGGGUGUGUUCAUUUGUAGACAGUACUUGUGUUUCUUUAGCGAGCGAGAUAUAAUGUCUGAAUGUCACAGGAUCCUUAAAUAUAUCACAGACAAAAUGACUUUUUUUGUGUCUGAAAACAUCUUUUUUAACAUAGACUAAUGUCAACUUGUGUCUAUUCCUCCUGCGGCUUUCGUUGCCUUGUUCUCUUGCUUUCUCUGUGAUCUCAGACAAUAAAGACCAUUGCAUUUA
Alosa sapidissima (American shad) is the source of this 1504-nucleotide long non-coding RNA. RefSeq lists it as uncharacterized. NCBI's taxonomy places the organism in Eukaryota, Metazoa, Chordata, Actinopteri, Clupeiformes, Clupeidae. The transcript is spliced from 2 exons. The record is from RefSeq and is a predicted model, not a curated record.